CUGAAUACGAAAUUAAGUGUGCUGGGAGUCUUGCAGCCUGGUACUUUAACUUCUGUUGAAGUCAAGUUUCCUUUCAAGUGGAACUUUAAAACCAACAAGCAGGCACCAGCCAUCUCUGGCAGAAGGCCCUAGCCCCACCACCCCGCCGCAGGGCUGAAGUCCUGAGCUCCCCCACAUCUGGCCCUGGGAAGCACAGAAUAUCAGAGCAAAGUGCAUACCAGCCAUGGCCUCAAUCCACCUCAAUCCACCCCUAUGUGCCGCAGUCUGGGAGCAGGGUCUUACCACCAGCUCCACACAGGUUGGAGAGGCCCCCUGUGUAGGUGGG
Molecule: long non-coding RNA, 325 nt
Organism: Gopherus flavomarginatus (Mexican gopher tortoise)
Lineage: Eukaryota; Metazoa; Chordata; Testudines; Testudinidae
Exons: 3
Source: RefSeq, a predicted model, not a curated record